Molecule: ribosomal RNA, 459 nt
Filed under: uncultured bacterium
Lineage: Bacteria
Description: partial 16S ribosomal RNA
Rfam family: Bacterial small subunit ribosomal RNA
Source: RNAcentral
CCUACGGGUGGCAGCAGUGAGGAAUAUUGGUCAAUGGCCGGAAGGCUGAACCAGCCAAGCCGCGUGAAGGACGAAGGUGCCAAGCAUUGUAAACUUCUUUUGUCAAGGGACAAAAUCAGGCUCGAGAGCCUGACCGAGGGUACUUGAAGAAAAAGCAUCGGCUAACUCCGGGCCAGAAGCAGCGGUAAAACGGAGGAUGCGAGGGUUAUCCGGAUUUAUGGGGUUUAAAGGGUGCGUAGUCGGACUGUUAAGUCAGCGGUAAAAGCCCGGGGCUCAACCCCGGCGAGCCGUUGAAACUGGCUGUCUUGAGAUGUCGAGAGGUAUGCGGAAUGCGCAGUGUAGCGGUGAAAUGCUUAGAUAUUGCGCAGAACUCCGAUUGCGAAGGCAGCAUACCGGCGGCGAUCUGACGCUGAGGCACGAAAGCGUGGGGAUCGAACAGGAUUAGAUACCCUUGUAGUC